AACGCACAUUGCGCCCCUUGGUAUUCCUUGGGGCAUGCCUGUUCGAGCGUCACUGCAAACCCCCUCAUAGAAAUUAUGGUAUUGAUGGAAGUGAACUAAGCCUACCAAUUUGCUUAGGUCACCCCAUCGAAAUGCAUAGGCAGGACAAUCAACCUCCGCAAUGGACUUAGUAGCUGUUUUGAAGACAUGAAUCAGUCCUUUGCUAGGUUCUGGCCUGGCCUCCAUGGACCUCCAUCCAAAAUGAACUCUGGGUUGACCUCGGAUCAGGUAGGGAUACCCGCUGAACUUAA
Molecule: unclassified non-coding RNA, 290 nt
Filed under: uncultured Tuber
Lineage: Eukaryota; Fungi; Ascomycota; Pezizomycetes; Pezizales; Tuberaceae
Description: sequence contains ITS2
Source: RNAcentral